RNAcentral lists this ribosomal RNA (450 nucleotides) under uncultured bacterium. Its description in RNAcentral is "bacterial SSU rRNA". It matches the Rfam family "Bacterial small subunit ribosomal RNA", at positions 354 to 796 of the family's 1533-position model. The record is from RNAcentral.
GUGGGGAAUAUUGGACAAUGGGCGAAAGCCUGAUCCAGCCAUGCCGCGUGUGUGAAGAAGGUCUUCGGAUUGUAAAGCACUUUAAGUUGGGAGGAAGGGCAGUAAGUUAAUACCUUGCUGUUUUGACGUUACCGACAGAAUAAGCACCGGCUAACUUCGUGCCAGCAGCCGCGGUAAUACGAAGGGUGCAAGCGUUAAUCGGAAUUACUGGGCGUAAAGCGCGCGUAGGUGGUUUUGUAAGUUGGAGGUGAAAUCCCCGGGCUCAACCUGGGAACUGCCUCCAAAACUACUGAGCUAGAGUACGGUAGAGGGUAGUGGAAUUUCCUGUGUAGCGGUGAAAUGCGUAGAUAUAGGAAGGAACACCAGUGGCGAAGGCGACUACCUGGACUGAUACUGACACUGAGGUGCGAAAGCGUGGGGAGCAAACAGGAUUAGAAACCCGUGUAGUCC